AAAGGGAGACCUAAUUCAGGUAAGAGACGAAAAAAAAGUAGUCGCUACCAAGAAUCAAUCCCAAAAGGUCGGAGCGAGGCGAAAUUGGCUUUCAAACUAGGUUCUGGGUUCACACAAGACCUGAAUCAGGAACAAGGGCUAUUAGCUCAGGUGGUUAGAGCGCACCCCUGAUAAGGGUGAGGUCCCUGGUUCGAGUCCAGGAUGGCCCACCUGUGCAGGUGGCAAAAAGAAAGAAAAGAAGCGAGGAAUCAGCACCUUAUCUUAUUUAUAUAGUAAGAGAGAAUGCUGGCUCUGAGUAAAGAGUCCAGAGGAACCUUGAAAACUGCAUAGAGCUAGGUGAAAAAGCCAAAAAAGAAGACCGCAAG
RNAcentral lists this transfer RNA (365 nucleotides) under uncultured Microcystis sp. RNAcentral describes it as "partial 16S-23S ribosomal RNA intergenic spacer". The stretch from base 136 to 209 matches the Rfam family "tRNA". The record is from RNAcentral. Lineage: Bacteria; Bacillati; Cyanobacteriota; Cyanophyceae; Chroococcales; Microcystaceae.